AGUCUAAUUGAAUAUAAUUUAAUUAAAUUUAGUUUGGGCUUGAUUGGAUCAAGUCUAAUUGAUUUAUUGGAUAAGCCAAGAGCAAGGGAAAACUAGUCCUUGUUUAAUUAGGACUUGGGUCAACCUAAUUUCUAAUUUGAUUAGAAAAUUAAAAUAGAUUUAAAUCUAAUUUAAUCUUAUUAAAUUAGAUUUUUAAUUGGGUUA
RNAcentral lists this long non-coding RNA (204 nucleotides) under Elaeis guineensis (African oil palm). RNAcentral's name for it is "long non-coding RNA (EGUI_LNC045957)". Lineage: Eukaryota; Viridiplantae; Streptophyta; Magnoliopsida; Arecales; Arecaceae. The record is from RNAcentral.